AAGUCGUAACAAGGUUUCCGUAGGUGAACCUGCGGAAGGAUCAUUAACAAAUUAACUGCGUGUACCUGCGAUUGCUGAUAUGUGGAUGUACAAGCUGGUUUGUCUCAGUUUUGUGCUUCGCACAAGGAUCUUCGCAAGGUACGCUCGUAAAAAGAUGUGUCUCUAGAGAUUAAUUUCUUUAGAGAUACAUACAAACAAGUAACCUGGGGUACUUUAAGGUGAAGUGCUUUACUGUGCUUUGUCUUAGAGCCCUUCUAAUAAUCCCUAUUUUACCAUUUUACCCCUUUAUAAACUAUAAGACUGAUAUGACAUGAUAAAUGUCAAAUAUAAAACUAUAAAACAACUCUUAACAAUGGAUAUCUAGGCUCUG
This 370-nucleotide unclassified non-coding RNA is filed under the name fungal sp. RNAcentral describes it as "partial internal transcribed spacer region". The stretch from base 1 to 46 matches the Rfam family "Eukaryotic small subunit ribosomal RNA", at positions 1786 to 1831 of the family's 1831-position model. Lineage: Eukaryota; Fungi. The record is from RNAcentral.